GUGCUCCGGGCGUCGGCC
RNAcentral lists this small nuclear RNA (18 nucleotides) under Arabidopsis thaliana (thale cress). RNAcentral describes it as "snRNA_18867". The record is from RNAcentral. Lineage: Eukaryota; Viridiplantae; Streptophyta; Magnoliopsida; Brassicales; Brassicaceae.